UUCACUUUCAUUUAUUGUCCCUUACUGAGAAUAAACUAUUCUGUGUCCCUCCUCCCCGGUUUUAAAGACAUGGUUAUAAAUUUAUAAUUCUUUCUAGAACAGAAGACACUAUUUGCAGCAAUGGAUCGAUUUUAGUUUUCUUCCCCAAUUCAUUCUUGACUAUUAUUUUUGUAAAAUAAAAGAAUGAAUCACUGGGUACAAAAUAUUAAAAGGGCAUAAAAAGCACAAAAUCAAGCAAGCAGAGACAAAGGGAUACAAAGUGUGCCCAUAAUUUUUAUAUGGGAGUGAGCAUGAGGUCACUUCCGAACUGCUAUGCAAUGUCCUGAGAGCUCAGCCUCAAAGUCUUUUCCUCUCCAGCAGAAGAAAAACAAAGCUACAGAGAUCAGUCCUGUCCAUGGAUCACAACAGACGAUGACUCUCUCAAGAGGUUCUUCUUCAAACAGUCCUACAAUCCACAGCAGCCACCUCCACCAACCUCCAAACCCAUCAAAGACAACGGAGAGCUAUGGACACGUUCUUAGAGACAAGAAAACUCAAGCAUAG
RNAcentral lists this long non-coding RNA (543 nucleotides) under Oryctolagus cuniculus (rabbit). RNAcentral's name for it is "lncRNA (ENSOCUG00000036664.1)". The record is from RNAcentral. Lineage: Eukaryota; Metazoa; Chordata; Mammalia; Lagomorpha; Leporidae.